GGAGUUGUGGCUCAAUGGUAGAGCUCUUGCCUAGUAUGCAUGAGGUACUGUGUUUAUCUCCA
RNAcentral lists this transfer RNA (62 nucleotides) under Ictidomys tridecemlineatus (thirteen-lined ground squirrel). RNAcentral's name for it is "Spermophilus tridecemlineatus (thirteen-lined ground squirrel) tRNA". It matches the Rfam family "tRNA". From Rfam's summary of the family: Transfer RNA (tRNA) molecules are approximately 80 nucleotides in length. The record is from Rfam by way of RNAcentral. Lineage: Eukaryota; Metazoa; Chordata; Mammalia; Rodentia; Sciuridae.